GAGGGAGAGCCUCCUGUCCGCCCAGACUGGCGCCUCUGUUCGGGUUUACCGUGUGGUCAAGCCUUGAAGAAGAGGUCUCAGUCGAGACUCAGAAGGGUAGGGGAAAGUUAUUUUUCCUCUCCUACAGCGGGGACGGCUUCGCGGACCUAGAGGCUUCUCCCCCUCCCACCAGUCACUGGUCGGCUAUUGCACGUGAAUGCGCUUUGCGGGCUAUAUCCUGGUCUGGCGUCUCAGCCCAGAAUUUGAGAGCAUUAGGGAUUGAGGAUUAUCAAAGAAAAGGGGGGAUUGGAACCUAGCAGGACCCUGCAGAGAUCUCCCAGAUGGGGAAACCGAGGCACAGAGAAGCAAAGUGAUCUUCCCAGAGCCACACAGCCAGUGGGUGGUAGGGCCAGGCUCCAAACCCAGGUCUUUCUGAGCCCCGAGCCCACUGCACCAUCUUGCCUGAUUCAAUAAAUGAGUGCUAUCACAUAACAAGCACAAACAGAUCCUCCCUGCCUCACAGAGAUGUUCCAAGGGAAAACAUGUCUUCUGAGUUUCCUUGUUGAUUAGUCCCUUUCAACAUCCUGCCUUUC
This is a long non-coding RNA of Eubalaena glacialis (North Atlantic right whale), 572 nucleotides long. RefSeq lists it as uncharacterized. The transcript is spliced from 5 exons. The record is from RefSeq and is a predicted model, not a curated record. NCBI's taxonomy places the organism in Eukaryota, Metazoa, Chordata, Mammalia, Artiodactyla, Balaenidae.